This 253-nucleotide ribosomal RNA is filed under the name uncultured bacterium. RNAcentral's name for it is "partial 16S ribosomal RNA". It matches the Rfam family "Bacterial small subunit ribosomal RNA", at positions 524 to 776 of the family's 1533-position model. The record is from RNAcentral.
UACGUAGGUGGCAAGCGUUGUCCGGAUUUACUGGGCGUAAAGGGCGCGUAGGCGGCGCAACAAGUCACUUGUGAAAUCUCCGGGCUUAACCCGGAGCGGCCAAGUGAUACUGUCGUGCUAGAGUGCGGAAGGGGCUACUGGAAUUCUCGGUGUAGCGGUGAAAUGCGUAGAGAUCGGAAAGAACACCAACGGCGAAAGCACUCUGCUGGGCCGACACUGACACUGAGAGACGAAAGCUAGGGGAGCGAAUGGG